Manis javanica (Malayan pangolin) is the source of this 912-nucleotide non-coding RNA. Lineage: Eukaryota; Metazoa; Chordata; Mammalia; Pholidota; Manidae. The record is from RefSeq and is a predicted model, not a curated record.
CAGAGAGCAGCCAAAAUGGCACAUUGUUCAUGGGACAAACUGCUUAUCUGUCUUCCGAGGGAGCAAAGUCAGCAUUUGAGGGAGAGGAAGAAAAGUCACUUGAAGACAAUGUCUAUUUUGGAACUGUCAGUGAUGAUUCUGAUAUUGUUACCCUUGAGCCACCUAAGCUAGAAGAAACUGGAAAUCAAGAAGAAGCUAUAAUUGUUAAAGAAGCACAGAGUCCAGAAGACUUUAACAUGGGCUCUUCUUCUAGCAGCCAUUAUACAUUCUGUCAGCCAGAAACUGGUAAGAACUACCUAAGGAAUACACUGAUAGGAGACUUAAGGUCUUCUAUGACCACAUUUUAUAUGAUGGCUUGCUUGUUUUCUAACCCUAAAUCUCAAUGUAUUGGGAUAAAACUCAAGAAAAUUUUUUGUAGAAUUUACUGUAUCUAGUGUUUUCCUAUACUCUAGGGCCUAGAGUGCAGUAGUCCUCUGCUAUAAUAAUAAAUACCAUCUACUGUCAUUAAGUAAAAGACAAAAAAAUUUUUUUCAAGGAGGUUUGUUAAUGUCUCAAAGACUCCAGAAUGCAUUUAACAUUUUUUAUCAUUGAGUGGGAUACUGAACCAUUCAUCUAGAAGCAGAAGAAAGUUAAGAUUUUUUUACUUACAGUGAUACAAAUUUUGUGUUACAGAAAUGGUGAAGGAAACUUACUGAACUCUUUCAGAUUCUUUAAAUUAUUAGUCAUUCAAUAAACAUUGAGUGCUACCAUGUCCCAAAUAGGGUUCAAGGAGCAGGCAAUACAGCAGCAUCCCAAAGCCCCUGAUAUUUGCAUCUUUCAUUUUAUGUUGAGUUUGAAAAUGUGCCUCUCCUAAGUCACAUUGUUAAUACAGUUAAUGCCUGUUGUUCAGACAGAAUCAUUUGGAGGUUAAAA